Non-coding RNA from Bombyx mori (domestic silkworm), 84 nucleotides. Lineage: Eukaryota; Metazoa; Arthropoda; Insecta; Lepidoptera; Bombycidae. The record is from Rfam.
UUAGCUCAUAUUUGUAUGGAAUGGGAUCGUUUGCCUACGUUUGCCGCUAGGGGCGCUGUUCCAACUGCAUACAAAAUUGGGCUA